GGAUAGAACAAAAGAGAGAUCUUUUUGUUGUUGUUGUUGUGGAUCCAUGUGAUAGCUCCAAUUGAAAGUUUUUUUUACCUUUUGGUGCGAUAGAUUAGUGUUUAGUGUGUGCAGAAGGUUUUGUAAGAACUGAAGAAACAACAAAUCCAAUGGAGUGUGUAGUUCAAGGAAUCAUCGAGACACAGCAUGUUGAAGCUCUUGAGAUCCUUCUUCAAGGUCUCUGUGGUGUUCAACGCGAACGCUUGAGAGUUCAUGAGCUAACUUUGAAAAGCGUCCCAAAUCUUGGAGUUGUAUCUUCAGAAGUUAGGCUUCUAUGUGACCUUGACCAACAACCAGAGCCCACAUGGACGGUUAAACAUGUUGGAGGUGCGAUGAGAGGUGCAGGAGCUGAUCAGAUCUCUGUUAUGGUGAGAACCAUGAUCGAAAGUAAAGUCAGCAAGAACGCCCUGCGUAUGUUCUACUCCCUCGGUUACAAACUAGACCACGAGCUUCUCAAAGUUGGCUUCGCUUUUCACUUCCAACGGACAGCGCACAUAAGCGUCUCUGUGUCUUCGGUGAACAAGAUGCCUAAGAUUCAUGCCAUAGAUGAGGCUGUCCCUGUAACUCCCGGGAUGCAGAUUGUUGUUGUAACGGCUCCAGCAACGCCUGAGAACUACAGUGAAGUUGCAGCUGCGGUUUCAUCCUUCUGUGAAUUUCUCGCCCCGCUUGUGCACUUGUCGAAACCCUUCAUCUCUACGGGAGUUGUGCCGACCGCUGCUGCGGCUGCUGCAUCACUUAUGUCGGAUGGAGGUGGUACUACAUUAUGAGAAUUGUGUUCUCUCAUGUUUUGGUUUAAUGUUUGUGUAUUUUGUUCACAUCAAUCACACAAUGUGGCUAGUGAGUGAUCCUGAGGUCUAGAGUUUGAACUUCUCUCACCCCAUUUCUACUAUUUUGGCCUUUUGUAUUUUGACAGAAGACACAUUGGAUCUUUGGAAAUUCACAUCUCUUUCUCAGUAGUGAAAGCUUGAGUAUGUACUCACUCAGUUGCAUUAACGGUGAUAGCUUUGUGAUUCCCAUCCCGAUCCAAGCAAAAGACUGUAUCACCAGACACCUUUUGGUGAUAUAGAUAGGGACAUCUAAGGUCCGGAUGGUUCCACUCUCUUCGUUACAUCUUUUGGUUUAUUGUAGUGUAAUUUGUUCACA
Molecule: RNA transcript, 1182 nt
Organism: Brassica rapa (field mustard)
Lineage: Eukaryota; Viridiplantae; Streptophyta; Magnoliopsida; Brassicales; Brassicaceae
Gene name: mediator of RNA polymerase II transcription subunit 18
Source: RefSeq, a predicted model, not a curated record